RNAcentral lists this ribosomal RNA (196 nucleotides) under uncultured rumen protozoa. RNAcentral's name for it is "partial 18S ribosomal RNA". It matches the Rfam family "Eukaryotic small subunit ribosomal RNA", at positions 357 to 562 of the family's 1831-position model. The record is from RNAcentral.
GGGUACAGGGAAUUAGGGUUCGAUUCUGGAGAAGGAGCCUGAGAAACGGCUACUACAUCUACGGAAGGCAGCAGGCGCGUAAAUUACCCAAUCCUGACUCAGGGAGGUGGUGACAAGAUAUAACGACGCGGUUAUUAUCCCGAUUGGAGUGAGGGUAUUCUAAACAAAACCUAUAGUACGAUUUGAGGGCAAGUAA